This 48-nucleotide ribosomal RNA is filed under the name Chenopodium album (lamb's quarters). Lineage: Eukaryota; Viridiplantae; Streptophyta; Magnoliopsida; Caryophyllales; Amaranthaceae. The record is from RNAcentral.
GCGAUCAUACCAGGACUAAUGCACCAGAUCCCAUCAGAACUCCGCAGU